This 2912-nucleotide ribosomal RNA is filed under the name Escherichia coli. RNAcentral's name for it is "bacterial LSU rRNA". It matches the Rfam family "Bacterial large subunit ribosomal RNA". Lineage: Bacteria; Pseudomonadati; Pseudomonadota; Gammaproteobacteria; Enterobacterales; Enterobacteriaceae. The record is from RNAcentral.
UAAGCGUACACGGUGGAUGCCCUGGCAGUCAGAGGCGAUGAAGGACGUGCUAAUCUGCGAUAAGCGUCGGUAAGGUGAUAUGAACCGUUAUAACCGGCGAUUUCCGAAUGGGGAAACCCAGUGUGUUUCGACACACUAUCAUUAACUGAAUCCAUAGGUUAAUGAGGCGAACCGGGGGAACUGAAACAUCUAAGUACCCCGAGGAAAAGAAAUCAACCGAGAUUCCCCCAGUAGCGGCGAGCGAACGGGGAGGAGCCCAGAGCCUGAAUCAGUGUGUGUGUUAGUGGAAGCGUCUGGAAAGGCGCGCGAUACAGGGUGACAGCCCCGUACACAAAAAUGCACAUGCUGUGAGCUCGAUGAGUAGGGCGGGACACGUGGUAUCCUGUCUGAAUAUGGGGGGACCAUCCUCCAAGGCUAAAUACUCCUGACUGACCGAUAGUGAACCAGUACCGUGAGGGAAAGGCGAAAAGAACCCCGGCGAGGGGAGUGAAAAAGAACCUGAAACCGUGUACGUACAAGCAGUGGGAGCACAGAGCAAUCUGUGUGACUGCGUACCUUUUGUAUAAUGGGUCAGCGACUUAUAUUCUGUAGCAAGGUUAACCGAAUAGGGGAGCCGAAGGGAAACCGAGUCUUAACUGGGCGUUAAGUUGCAGGGUAUAGACCCGAAACCCGGUGAUCUAGCCAUGGGCAGGUUGAAGGUUGGGUAACACUAACUGGAGGACCGAACCGACUAAUGUUGAAAAAUUAGCGGAUGACUUGUGGCUGGGGGUGAAAGGCCAAUCAAACCGGGAGAUAGCUGGUUCUCCCCGAAAGCUAUUUAGGUAGCGCCUCGUGAAUUCAUCUCCGGGGGUAGAGCACUGUUUCGGCAAGGGGGUCAUCCCGACUUACCAACCCGAUGCAAACUGCGAAUACCGGAGAAUGUUAUCACGGGAGACACACGGCGGGUGCUAACGUCCGUCGUGAAGAGGGAAACAACCCAGACCGCCAGCUAAGGUCCCAAAGUCAUGGUUAAGUGGGAAACGAUGUGGGAAGGCCCAGACAGCCAGGAUGUUGGCUUAGAAGCAGCCAUCAUUUAAAGAAAGCGUAAUAGCUCACUGGUCGAGUCGGCCUGCGCGGAAGAUGUAACGGGGCUAAACCAUGCACCGAAGCUGCGGCAGCGACGCUGAUGCGUUGUUGGGUAGGGGAGCGUUCUGUAAGCCUGUGAAGGUGUGCUGUGAGGCAUGCUGGAGGUAUCAGAAGUGCGAAUGCUGACAUAAGUAACGAUAAAGCGGGUGAAAAGCCCGCUCGCCGGAAGACCAAGGGUUCCUGUCCAACGUUAAUCGGGGCAGGGUGAGUCGACCCCUAAGGCGAGGCCGAAAGGCGUAGUCGAUGGGAAACAGGUUAAUAUUCCUGUACUUGGUGUUACUGCGAAGGGGGGACGGAGAAGGCUAUGUUGGCCGGGCGACGGUUGUCCCGGUUUAAGCGUGUAGGCUGGUUUUCCAGGCAAAUCCGGAAAACUAAGGCUGAGGCGUGAUGACGAGGCACUACGGUGCUGAAGCAACAAAUGCCCUGCUUCCAGGAAAAGCCUCUAAGCAUCAGGUAACAUCAAAUCGUACCCCAAACCGACACAGGUGGUCAGGUAGAGAAUACCAAGGCGCUUGAGAGAACUCGGGUGAAGGAACUAGGCAAAAUGGUGCCGUAACUUCGGGAGAAGGCACGCUGAUAUGUAGGUGAAGUCCCUCGCGGAUGGAGCUGAAAUCAGUCGAAGAUACCAGCUGGCUGCAACUGUUUAUUAAAAACACAGCACUGUGCAAACACGAAAGUGGACGUAUACGGUGUGACGCCUGCCCGGUGCCGGAAGGUUAAUUGAUGGGGUCAGCGCAAGCGAAGCUCUUGAUCGAAGCCCCGGUAAACGGCGGCCGUAACUAUAACGGUCCUAAGGUAGCGAAAUUCCUUGUCGGGUAAGUUCCGACCUGCACGAAUGGCGUAAUGAUGGCCAGGCUGUCUCCACCCGAGACUCAGUGAAAUUGAACUCGCUGUGAAGAUGCAGUGUACCCGCGGCAAGACGGAAAGACCCCGUGAACCUUUACUAUAGCUUGACACUGAACAUUGAGCCUUGAUGUGUAGGAUAGGUGGGAGGCUUUGAAGUGUGGACGCCAGUCUGCAUGGAGCCGACCUUGAAAUACCACCCUUUAAUGUUUGAUGUUCUAACGUUGACCCGUAAUCCGGGUUGCGGACAGUGUCUGGUGGGUAGUUUGACUGGGGCGGUCUCCUCCUAAAGAGUAACGGAGGAGCACGAAGGUUGGCUAAUCCUGGUCGGACAUCAGGAGGUUAGUGCAAUGGCAUAAGCCAGCUUGACUGCGAGCGUGACGGCGCGAGCAGGUGCGAAAGCAGGUCAUAGUGAUCCGGUGGUUCUGAAUGGAAGGGCCAUCGCUCAACGGAUAAAAGGUACUCCGGGGAUAACAGGCUGAUACCGCCCAAGAGUUCAUAUCGACGGCGGUGUUUGGCACCUCGAUGUCGGCUCAUCACAUCCUGGGGCUGAAGUAGGUCCCAAGGGUAUGGCUGUUCGCCAUUUAAAGUGGUACGCGAGCUGGGUUUAGAACGUCGUGAGACAGUUCGGUCCCUAUCUGCCGUGGGCGCUGGAGAACUGAGGGGGGCUGCUCCUAGUACGAGAGGACCGGAGUGGACGCAUCACUGGUGUUCGGGUUGUCAUGCCAAUGGCACUGCCCGGUAGCUAAAUGCGGAAGAGAUAAGUGCUGAAAGCAUCUAAGCACGAAACUUGCCCCGAGAUGAGUUCUCCCUGACUCCUUGAGAGUCCUGAAGGAACGUUGAAGACGACGACGUUGAUAGGCCGGAUGUGUAAGCGCAGCGAUGCGUUGAGCUAACCGGUACUAAUGAACCGUGAGGCUUAACCUUACAACGCCGAAGCUGUU